Balaenoptera acutorostrata (minke whale) is the source of this 659-nucleotide long non-coding RNA. RefSeq lists it as uncharacterized. The record is from RefSeq and is a predicted model, not a curated record. The transcript has 3 exons. NCBI's taxonomy places the organism in Eukaryota, Metazoa, Chordata, Mammalia, Artiodactyla, Balaenopteridae.
CUGGAACCGGUCUGAGACUGCGCCGGGCUUGCGAGUAUGGUUUUAAGGGCUUGGCGGGAACGUGCGUGAGGCUGCAGCUUCUUGCUCGGGAUGAGAAAAUUAUGGCUCAGAAAGGCACAGCUUGUCUGCAUUUAAACAGCUAGUUGACAGAUUGGCUGGGACUUCGUUUUUGUCGUCAAAGUCAGUGCUCUUUAAGAAUGGGACAUUCUGAAUAGGACAUUGGAGAAGAAGAUGAGAAAAGUAUCUCGCAACCCACUGAAUACAGCCAUUACCACUGAGAACUUCGUCUAAUCCAUCCGAUUUUCUGAACUCCUCUGUUUCUUAUGCUGCUAGUCUUCAAGAGAUCCAUUCAUUGUAAGUUCCAAAGACUUUAGACUCUUUUCUCAACUGGUUUGUAUAUUGGUCUCAAUCUAGACACAGAUCAAUUUCGAAAAACCAAGACAUAAAAAUAAUUAAAGUAUCUGAUGUGAGCCAGAACUAGAGGUUGUGUCACACACAGACCUUGCUACCCUUCUGGAGGUCGGACCAAGCCCCUGAAAACUCUGUGUUUAAUGCGUUCUCACCCCAACCUCAACACCAAACCAUGCUGCUUAGUUUAUAAUCCAGUCAUGUGUGGUAGUGGGCUAUGGCCAGUGACUUGAUUUCGUUUGCAUUUUAGA